Molecule: long non-coding RNA, 4462 nt
Organism: Mirounga angustirostris (Northern elephant seal)
Lineage: Eukaryota; Metazoa; Chordata; Mammalia; Carnivora; Phocidae
Exons: 3
Source: RefSeq, a predicted model, not a curated record
GCGGUAGGUGAGUAAGAGGGAGAGAAGGCAAAGGAGCCGAUUGUGGGGACGUUGUUAGAACUGUAAAGCCUCACUCCGGAGACACUGUGGGGCGUUUCAACGAGAAUCGCGUCGCAGGCAUUUUUCUGUUGCUCGUCCCCCUCCCGCGCCAAUCGCACAGCCCGGCCGCGCCCAGGUUCCGGAUCUGAGUUUGGGGUCCGCCUGGGGGCGGAACUCCAGCCCUGCGAUUCUGGCCUUCCGGACUCUUUGAGCUCGGCUCUUCUCGGCAGCCCCAACGUCUGCACCUUAUGCUUGGCCCCUGGUUUUAGUGAGUCCUUAAUGCAUAGGAUCCUACAGCUGCCAGACUGUUUAAUAGAGACCAUCUCAUUUCAUUUCUGCCGUAUUUUAGAGAUGAGAACACCGACGUCCCCCUUACCUGAAAUAGCAGGACGGAUGGAGCCAAGAACCCGGGGUUCAAAUCCUAACUUUGUGCCUGCCUCUGCACAAGCCAUAACCGUGCUCUUUUUGGGGGAGCUGAGUUUGUUAAAGGGGUUCAACCCACCUACCUCACUGGUUGGAUGGGAAGCUUAAGAAACAAAGUGUGGGAAAACAUGGGCCCAGUGUGCACUGAGCACAAAACCGCGCUGGACAAAAAUGCUCUUUGAAACAAAAUCUUAGUACUCAACUCUACUGAGGCUCCGUUAAGACAGAGACAAGGUCAUUCCUGUACCACCCGCUCCGCAAAAGUUUAUGGCCCCAAAUCCUUUCCCAUGUGGUAAAAUGAUAUUCAACAAGGGUGCCAGGACCAUUCCAUGAGGUAAAUCUACUCUUUUCAACAAACAGUAUUGGGAAACCUGGAUAUUCACAUGUGAAAGAAUGAAGUUAAACCUUUACCUUAUACACCAUAUACAGAAGUUAAUUCAUAAUGCACCAAAGAACUACCUGUAAGAGCUGAAAGUAUAAAACUCUUAGAAGAAAACAGGAAAGCUUCAUGACAUUGGAUUUGGCAAUGAUUUCUUGGGCAUGACAGCCAAAGCACAGACAGCAAAAGAAAAAAGAUAGAGAGAGAGACAGCGAGAGAGGGAAUACAAGCAGGGUGAGUGGGAGAAGCAGGCUUCCCACGGAGCAGGGAGCCCUAGGAUCAUGACCUGAGCCGAAGGCAGACACUUAGCGAAUGAGCCACCCAGGCGUACCUCUUGCUGUAUCUUCAUCUCAGUAGGCUCCACACCCAGCAUGGAGCCCAAUGCAGGGCUUGAACUCACGACCCUGAGAUCAAGACCUGAGCUGAGAUUAAGAGUUGGAUGCUUAACCAACUGAGCCAUCCAGGUGCCCCGAUCCAGAAUAAUCUUCAAAAAAAAUUUUUUUAAAGGAAGAUCAUGUUACUCCUCUGCUUAAAACCAUGCAAUGACUUCUCAUUUUACCUAGGGGAAAAACCAAAGUUGUCUCAGUGGCCUAAAGGCCCGUAUCAUCUCUCUGACCCCCUCUCCUACUAUCCUUCCCCUGCCUCAGUCCACUGGCCUCCUUGCUGCUCUUCAAAUAUGUCAGGCCCACACUUACCUGAGAGCCUUUGUGCUGGCUGUUGUCACUGCCUGGAAAGCUUUUCCUUAGAUAUUUCCUAACUCGCUUUUGUCAAGUCUUUGUUCAAAAAUCACCUCCUUGAUAAGGUCUACCUGACCACCUUACUUAAAAGUAGUAUUCAUAUCCCCCUCUACCAUAGACACUCCUUAUCCCCCUUACGCUAUUUUGCUUUUUGUUUUUCCAUAGUGCCUAUCACCUUGCAACAUACUAUAUAAUUUAUUUAUUCAUUAUGUCUACUCGUUAUUGACUCACUAGGACAUAAGCUUCAUGAGGACAAGAAUCUUUUUGUCACGAAUAUAUCCUAAGAACCCAGAGCAGCACCUGGCACAUAACAGACACUUAACACAUGUUUGUUAAAUAAAUGAAUUCUUCAAAACUUAUCUCAGAUAUUGGGUUCUUCACCAAGUUUUCCCUAGCUGUGAACACACCCCACUCUCCCUCAAACAGAUGAAAUGAACCCCUCCCUUCCUUGUGAUACCUUUGUACCUUGUACUGUUGUUGCAUUUUCCAGAUAAUAUUGUAGUUUGCAUGUCUAGAUUAUUAGGGCAAGGUUUAGGACCUGUCCUAUUAAUUUCUGCAUUCUUGUGGCUCAGCUCAGGACCUGACAAUAAUAUACAUGGAUUAUUUUGAUGAAUAAACUAAUAAAGCCACACCAAGACUGAAUGUCUACAAAUACCCCAUUGGUGAGGGUCUGGGAAAACGGGCCCACCCUCAGUGUUGACGGGAGUCUAAAUUGAUUUAAGCUCCCUGCAGUACAGAGUGAAAAUAUCUAUCAAGGUGGACAUAACCUUUGACCCAGAAAUUCUACCUUUAGGAAUUUAUCUGACAAACUUAUUCAUGUAUUUCAAGAUGCAUUACAAAGAUAUUCAUUGUAGCAUUGUUUAUAAUAUCAAAACAAACAAAGAAAACCAAUAGAAUUGUCCCAUCAGUAGGGUCACAAUAGAAUAUGAUUCAUCUACUAAAUAGGAUGAGACAUACCUACAUGUACAAACCUGAAAUAAGCUCCAAGUGGAGCUUAUUCAAGUGGAAACAGUAUAAUGUAGGAAAACAUAUAGUAUGUUAAUAUGUGCAUUUCACAAAAAGGAGGAGAUUAGAUACACACAUGCUUAUAUAUGCAUAGUAUGUUUUGGAAAGAUAAAGGAGAAACUCUGAAUAGGGGCUGCCUCUAGACAGGAGAAUUAGAGGUCAGGGUGGGGGGGAAACAUAUUUUUACGGCAUACUCUGUUAUUGUUUGAAUUUUUUAUCAUGUGUAUCAGCUUAUCAAUAAUAAUUAAAAUUUUUCUAAAUAAUAAAAAAAGCCUCAAAGGUGCAUAUUGGGCAAGGAUGGAGAAGAGAUGCAGCUCUCCAUUAUGCUUCAGGUGAUUGAUUGAUUGAUUGAAAAAUGACAGAUCUUUUUUAGGAGCCUCUGUCCCAAUAUCUCUCUCUUUCUCUCCCUCUCUCUGUCUCUGUCUUUAUCUCAUUACUUCUUUGGUCAUCUCUUUCAAAAUGAGCAGCUUGGCCACAGAGAUGUCUUGUCAGCAGAACGGUCUGGUGGUAAAGAAGACAAGAUCUGGGCUGGGAACCUGAUCUGGCAUAGAGCCACUCCUUGAGCAAUGUGGCUAUGGCGCACUGGACUGUGCCCAAAGCAACUUGAUUCAGGCUGUUAAGAUCCACGUAGUACAUUAGGGGCAGUCAGAGACUCUAUGUAGUGGCUAUAUUCAGCAUGGGGUUCGAGUAAUUAGUUUCUUACAACAAGGCUCAGCCUGACAUUAUGAGCACAGGGAGACAGUCUUGACUCCAAGGGCCAGCACUGGCCAGGGGAGUCUGGGAUGCCAAGGAGGGAGGGCUAGGUCCAGUCCUAGGAAACUGUUUUGACAUUCAGGGAAACUGAGGCAGAAACCUUGGUCCACAGAGCAGAGGAAAGGGGAACGGCAGGGGCUGGGUGGGCUUAAGAUUCCCAGGACUCUCCUUAGGCAGUCAGAGGAAGCCAUAGGUACCUGGACUUUUUAGAAAAUAGAGGGAAGGACAUAUUAUGUGGAAAUGGCAAGGAUACAGAAAGGGAAGUGAGUUAGUGGGGUAUAAACUCCAGCACUUAGCCUAAAGCUUUUUCUGUUCCUCCCACUUUCACAAGCCAAAGUUGUCAUAGAAUUGGGUCCCUUGCUCCUAUGAUUCUAGUGCUGGAAGGGUCCUGAAAGAUUCUAACCAAUGCUAUGGGUGAUGGCAGAAUCCUAAAUUCUAGGCGUGAUUCAUAUACUCGCAGAACUGGUAAAGCCUUCAGAGACCGUGGGACCUGGUAUACAAGGCCCUUCUCCUGCUUUCUCCUCGGGAACAGCAUGCCUGGAAGAAUUUUCCCCACAGCCUUUUCCUGCCUGGCCCCAGUCCCCGCUCCCAAUCAGCCCAUACCUGAGACAGCUCUGCUUUCUCCUCCUCCAGGGCCGGCUGAAAGUCAGGAGGCAGCACACUGCUGCAAAGCCCAGAAAGCCCCCCAGAUUGCUGGUAGUCAGACCAGCUUCAUUAAAAUGAACUUUGUUCCCCGGGGAUUUGAUCAUGGAGGUGUUAUUGUGUACUUGAUCACAGUUCCUAUGGCUACAGGCUCACAGUGGGAAGGAACCGGUAUACAUCAGCAUCUUCCUGUAAAAUAGGGACUUGACCUCAUUUAUAGUCAAACAUGCAGCAGGCAACCUUGCAAAUGGCACAGCAUGAAUAGAAUUCAGAGAGUUCUGAUGACUUAAGUAGAAAAGAACAUUAAAUAAAACAGUACAUGUGAAAGUAUGUGUUCAAUCCCUGGUUCAGCUUAGGUACUUAAUGGCUGUUAAGUAUUCAUAACACUAAUCUUUACAUCAUCCAACUGAAAGGUUGCAAACUGACAGUCCUCAGGCCAAAUCAAACCCAUAGACCUCUACUGUAUGAUUUCAGACUGCUUAAA